RNAcentral lists this ribosomal RNA (230 nucleotides) under uncultured bacterium. Its description in RNAcentral is "partial 16S ribosomal RNA". It matches the Rfam family "Bacterial small subunit ribosomal RNA", at positions 524 to 753 of the family's 1533-position model. The record is from RNAcentral.
UACGUAGGGGCCGAGCGUUGUCCGGAUUUAUUGGGCGUAAAGCGCGUGUAGGCGGCCAGGUAGGUCGGCUGUGAAAACUCGAGGCUCAACCUCGAGCUGUCGGCCGAAACCAUCUGGCUAGAGUCCGGAAGAGGAGAGUGGAAUUCCCGGUGUAGCGGUGAAAUGCGCAGAUAUCGGGAAGAACACCCGUGGCGAAGGCGGCUCUCUGGGACGGUACUGACGCUGAGACG